AGCGGAGGAAAAGAAACUAACAAGGAUUCCCUUAGUAACUGCGAGUGAAGAGGGAAAAGCUCAAAUUUAAAAUCUGGCAGUGUUUCACUGUCCGAGUUGUAACCUAGAGAAGUGUAACCUGCGCUGGACCGUGUAUAAGUCUCCUGGAAUGGAGCAUCACUGAGGGUGAGAAUCCCGUCUUUGACACGGACCACCAGUGCAUUGUGGUUGUGCUCUCAACGAGUCGAGUUGUUUGGGAAUGCAGCUCUAAAUGGGUGGUAAAUUCCAUCUAAAGCUAAAUAUUGGCGAGAGACCGAUAGCGAACAAGUACCGUGAGGGAAAGAUGAAAAGAACUUUGGAAAGAGAGUUAAACAGUAUGUGAAAUUGUUGAAAGGGAAACGUUUGAAGUCAGUCGCGUCGGUUGGGGAUCAGCCUGACAUUGUUGGGUGUACUUCCUGGUUGACGGGCCAACAUCAGUUUUGAUUGCCAGAAAAAGGCCAAAGGAAUGUGGCACCUUUGGGUGUGUUAUAGCCCUUGGUCGUAUAUGGUGGUUGGGACUGAGGAAAGCAGCGUGCCGAAAGGCCGGGUUUCGACCACGUUCACGCUGAGGAUGUUGGCAUAAUGGCUUUAAGCGACCCGUCUUGAAACACGGACCAAGGAGUCUAACAUGCAUGCGAGUGUUUGGGUGGAAAACCCUUACGCGUAAUGAAAGUGAAAGUUGAGAUCCCUGUCGUGGGGAGCAUCGACGCCCGGACCAGAACUUUUGGGACGGAUCUGCGGUAGAGCACGUAUGUUGGGACCCGAAAGAUGGUGAACUAUGCCUGAAUAGGGUGAAGCCAGAGGAAACUCUGGUGGAGGCUCGUAGCGAUUCUGACGUGCAAAUCGAUCGUCAAAUUUGGGUAUAGGGGCGAAAGACUAAUCGAACCAUCUAGUAGCUGGUUCCUGCCGAA
This 929-nucleotide ribosomal RNA is filed under the name Amanita flavorubens. RNAcentral describes it as "partial 28S ribosomal RNA". It matches the Rfam family "Eukaryotic large subunit ribosomal RNA", at positions 49 to 965 of the family's 3401-position model. The record is from RNAcentral. Lineage: Eukaryota; Fungi; Basidiomycota; Agaricomycetes; Agaricales; Amanitaceae.